This 400-nucleotide long non-coding RNA is filed under the name Elaeis guineensis (African oil palm). RNAcentral describes it as "long non-coding RNA (EGUI_LNC024691)". The record is from RNAcentral. Lineage: Eukaryota; Viridiplantae; Streptophyta; Magnoliopsida; Arecales; Arecaceae.
GAUGAGUUGCCUUCCUUAGGAUUGAGGGAAAAGCUCGAUAAAGAGUCGCAUCGCUAGCUCCUUGUAGAAGAUCAAAGUUUGAAAGUUUUUCAGAUGGUCCAUCGGAUUAGCCAUUCCAUCACAAGGCUCCAUCUGGGGCAUCUUGAAUCGAGAUGGAAGAAGCUCAUCAAUAAUCUUUUGAGUAAACGAUGGGUCAAUGUUAAACGCCAGAUCGUCGUCUGAUUGUUUCGGUGCCUAAAGUGCACGAUCUAUUGCUGCAUUUUUUGAAACUUCUUUUCUAUCUCAUCUUUUUAGCUUGAUCAGCAUCGAGAAGAGAUAUGAUCCAAGGAAGAGUCUCUUCUAGAGAUCGAAGUGGGAGACUGCCUAUAACGAUGACAAGGUGGGCUGUUAGGUCGGCUUU